This 735-nucleotide ribosomal RNA is filed under the name Bursaphelenchus sp. 1 SAS-2019. Its description in RNAcentral is "partial large subunit ribosomal RNA". It matches the Rfam family "Eukaryotic large subunit ribosomal RNA", at positions 381 to 946 of the family's 3401-position model. The record is from RNAcentral. Lineage: Eukaryota; Metazoa; Nematoda; Chromadorea; Rhabditida; Aphelenchoididae.
AAGAGAGUGCAAGAGAACGUGAAACCGGUAUAAUGGAAGCAUAUGGAGUUGACGUAUCUGGUGCGUAUUCAGUUGUCGGGCGCGGCGAUUGCCGGCGUUGUCAUUCCGCAAGGUUGGCGCGUUGGUAUUGUUGUUGUGUUCGGCGAUGCAUUUACGUACGGAGUGCGCCGGGUCGUGCGCUGUCGCCUAUCUAAGCCAUGCGCAGAGGACGUUGCCUUCGGGUUGGCGAAACCUGCGCGGGUGGAGGUUGGUUGCCGGUGCGCGGCUUUGUGGUUGAGCGGGUGAAUUCGUGCGGUUGCGCGUCGAUGGUGCCGGUUUGUGGUUGUACGCAUGCGUGCGGCUCUUACGGGUGUUGUCGGCGAGCGGCCGUGCUCUGUCUCUCUUCCCGGUGUUCAGUCAAUGACCCAUUUGACCCGUCUUGAAACACGGACCAAGGAGUUUAUGGUAUACGCGAGUCAUUGGGCUUACGAAACCCAAAGGCGUAAUGAAAGUGAGAUCUUAUUGGUAUCGAAUGUGAGCGGUGUCGGUUUCGACGGGCGCCGUGCAACAUUGCCCCGUUCCGAGGACUUGUCCUGUUGCGGAGGUUGAGCGUAUGCUAUGAGACCCGAAAGAUGGUGAACUAUGCCUGAACAGGAUGAAGCCAGAGGAAACUCUGGUGGAAGUCCGAAGCGGUUCUGACGUGCAAAUCGAUCGUCUGAUUUUGGUAUAGGGGCGCAAGACUAAUCGAACCAUCUA